CCAUAAUAUUAUUAGAUGGCAUCAUUUGAUAAUUAAAACUGCGGUGGUGAAAGAUGGGCAUGCGUCCUAUUAGCUAGUGGAGUGGUAACGGCACCCCAAGGUUACGAUAGGUAGGGGUCCUGAGAGGGAGAUCCCCCACACUGGUACUGAGACAGGGACCAGACUCCUACGGGAGGCAGCAGUGAGGAAUAUUGGUCAAUGGUCGGAAGACUGAACCAGCCAUGCCGCGUGCAGGAAGAAUGCCUUAUGGGUUGUAAACUGCUUUUAUAUGGGAAGAAUAAGGCGUACGUGUACGUUGAUGACGUACCAUAUGAAUAA
Molecule: ribosomal RNA, 318 nt
Filed under: Capnocytophaga gingivalis
Lineage: Bacteria; Pseudomonadati; Bacteroidota; Flavobacteriia; Flavobacteriales; Flavobacteriaceae
Description: bacterial SSU rRNA
Rfam family: Bacterial small subunit ribosomal RNA
Source: RNAcentral